RNAcentral lists this ribosomal RNA (519 nucleotides) under uncultured bacterium. Its description in RNAcentral is "bacterial SSU rRNA". It matches the Rfam family "Bacterial small subunit ribosomal RNA", at positions 8 to 526 of the family's 1533-position model. The record is from RNAcentral.
AGAGUUUGAUCCUGGCUCAGGAUGAACGCUAGCGGCAGGCCUAACACAUGCAAGUCGAGGGGUAGAGGGUGCUUGCAUCCUUGAGACCGGCGCACGGGUGCGUAACGCGUAUGCAACCUGCCUUCCACAGGGGAAUAGCCCAGAGAAAUUUGGAUUAAUGCCCCAUGGCACAUCGAGACGGCAUCGUCUUGGUGUUAAAGUAACAACGGUGGAAGAUGGGCAUGCGUCCCAUUAGCUAGUUGGUAAGGUAACGGCUUACCAAGGCUAUGAUGGGUAGGGGUCCUGAGAGGGAGAUCCCCCACACUGGUACUGAGACACGGACCAGACUCCUACGGGAGGCAGCAGUGAGGAAUAUUGGUCAAUGGUCGCAAGACUGAACCAGCCAUGCCGCGUGCAGGAUGACGGUCCUAUGGAUUGUAAACUGCUUUUGUACGGGAAGAAACACUCCUACGUGUAGGGGCUUGACGGUACCGUAAGAAUAAGGAUCGGCUAACUCCGUGCCAGCAGCCGCGGUAAUAC